Molecule: long non-coding RNA, 1516 nt
Filed under: Homo sapiens (human)
Lineage: Eukaryota; Metazoa; Chordata; Mammalia; Primates; Hominidae
Description: HSALNT0024614
Source: RNAcentral
GGCAACAGGAAGAGGGGCGCUGUCUGAGACACAGGCCCUCAACCAUUGAGUGGGGAGCAAGAGAGAGAGCAAGGGACUACAACUUUAUUGGGAUCCCGGGCAUUAUCCAAGCAGGAUAUUGCCACGGUUUCUACGGGACUGAACAAAGGGGGACCCACACAGGAAUGAAAACUUAAAACAAAACAGCCACUAAGGAAGGCGCAGAGGGACUUCCUUUCGGCCCGAAACAGUAUCUGUGCUGCCAAAGUUGUUUUCCUUGUGACUCAAAUGAGGAAGAAUAAACUUGGUUUAGGACUAUUCAAUGCCAGUGUUUUCAGAUGGCUCCACCAGCAGAGAACAGAGAAGGGGAGAAGAGGAAAAGCAGCUGGACGUCGGGGACUGCGGUUUGACGUCGGAGAGAAGCAGCUUGACUUCAGAGGGACAGCUUGACCGCUUUGCUUUGGAGAGGAGUCUGGCUGGGGAUGGCUGGACUCCAGGGGAAGAUCGUCUUCCUGUUCCAUCCCUUUUCCAGCUCCCCUCCCACUGAGAGCCACUUUCAUUGGCAAUAAAAUCCUCCAUAUUCACCACCCUUCAAUUCGUUCAUGCGACCUGAUUUUUCCUGGAUGCCAAACAAGAGCCCAGGUGCCACAGGUGUGGAUACUAAAGGCUGUCACACUGACCCUUUGCCCUUGCUGGCAGAGAGCAACCACUUCAUGCAAAAAGGCAGAGGGCCCACUGAGGUAUUUAACACUUAAGCUGUCCGUGGACAGCCAAGCUAAAAGAACACUGUAACACACUCCCUCUGGGGCUUCUGGGGUCCCUGGUAUUCCUGACGAGACACUGUCAUGGGGCCUGCAGGGAGUUUUGCUCCUGCCAACACCCAAAAGCACUCUUUCUGGCUCCUGCACCCGCUCACCUGCGUGCUUCCCCUUCCCUCAAGGGCUUGAGAGCUGCAGGCUGAGUAAGUAGGCACCCUUGUCACGAGGUCCAAAAAGGGAUCAAGGAAAAUUUCCUGUUUCAGUGCUUUGGCAAAAACUUGAGUCAAUGAUACAGAAAAGUUAUGAGAGUUGAAAUCCUUGUCUAGUUCCCACUCAUAAUUCACUGAUUUUUAUUUCUGUAGUUUAUAAUCUGAGGUUAAUUCUAUCCAAUAAUAUUUUCAUUGUAGUAAUUGGGUAAUUUUUAUAUUUAGAUAUUGCUUUUGGUUUCUUUUUUGUAACGUCCAGUUCUCCAUUUUUUUGGUACAUAUAAAUAAAUAUAAUAACUCUUUUAAUGUUAUUAUUUGAUAAUUUAAUCAUCUCUGUCAAUUCUAUGUUUCUAUUGACUAUUUCCCCCCCAAUCGUAAGUCUAAUUUUCUUGUUUGUAUGUGCAGUAGUUAAAAAAUUCAAAUUAAAAAUAUUGCAAAUUUCUGGCCAGGUGUGGUGGCUCAUGCUUGUAACCCCAGCAUUUUGGGAGGUGGAGGCAGGCAAAUCACUUGAGGUCUGGAGUUCUCCAGCCUGGCCAACAAGGUGAAACCUGUCUCUACUAAAAAUACAAUUAG